This 641-nucleotide ribosomal RNA is filed under the name Escherichia coli. RNAcentral describes it as "partial 23S ribosomal RNA". It matches the Rfam family "Bacterial large subunit ribosomal RNA", at positions 2160 to 2800 of the family's 2925-position model. Lineage: Bacteria; Pseudomonadati; Pseudomonadota; Gammaproteobacteria; Enterobacterales; Enterobacteriaceae. The record is from RNAcentral.
AAGUGUGGACGCCAGUCUGCAUGGAGCCGGCCUUGAAAUACCACCCUUUAAUGUUUGAUGUUCUAACGUUGGCCCCUGAUCGGGGUUGCGGACAGUGUCUGGUGGGUAGUUUGACUGGGGCGGUCUCCUCCUAAAGAGUAACGGAGGAGCACGAAGGUUGGCUAAUCCUGGUCGGACAUCAGGAGGUUAGUGCAAUGGCAUAAGCCAGCUUGACUGCGAGCGUGACGGCGCGAGCAGGUGCGAAAGCAGGUCAUAGUGAUCCGGUGGUUCUGAAUGGAAGGGCCAUCGCUCAACGGAUAAAAGGUACUCCGGGGAUAACAGGCUGAUACCGCCCAAGAGUUCAUAUCGACGGCGGUGUUUGGCACCUCGAUGUCGGCUCAUCACAUCCUGGGGCUGAAGUAGGUCCCAAGGGUAUGGCUGUUCGCCAUUUAAAGUGGUACGCGAGCUGGGUUUAGAACGUCGUGAGACAGUUCGGUCCCUAUCUGCCGUGGGCGCUGGAGAACUGAGGGGGGCUGCUCCUAGUACGAGAGGACCGGAGUGGACGCAUCACUGGUGUUCGGGUUGUCAUGCCAAUGGCACUGCCCGGUAGCUAAAUGCGGAAGAGAUAAGUGCUGAAAGCAUCUAAGCACGAAACUUGCCCC